AUUGCUUCGCAGAGCCGUGGUGCCGCCUCCGUCUGCUGCUUCUUCUCUGGCGCUCUCGUCCCGUCGGCUUUCGCCGCCGCCGCCGCAGCUGCACUGGGGAUACGGAUGGCUAGGGGGGCGCAGAGGCCAUCUGGGUUGAAAGAGCGGCGAUCGCGGCCGCUGCUGAGGCGGAGACUCCCUGCCGCCGCUUCCUCCACCCCCAGUCCGCCGGCCUCGCGGCGCUGAGGGCGGGAGCGCGCAGAGCUCUUCUCUCCUCCUCCUUUUUCUUCCUCCUCCUCCUCCUCCGGGUCCCCGCCCAGCACCCCUCGCACCAGGCGGCCGCGGCGGCGGAGGAGGAGAGCUAGACCCGCCGCCGGGGCACAACAUGGCGGAGCCCUCGGCCCCGGAGAGCAAGCACAAGUCGUCCCUCAACUCGUCCCCGUGGAGUGGCCUCAUGGCCCUGGGAAACAGCCGGCACGGCCACCACGGGCCCGGGGCCCAGUGCGCGCACAAGGCGGCGGGCGGCGCGGCGCCGCCGAAGCCGGCCCCGGCGGGGCUGUCCGGGGGGCUGUCGCAGCCGGCUGGGUGGCAGUCGCUUCUCUCCUUCACCAUCCUCUUCCUGGCCUGGCUUGCCGGCUUCAGCUCGCGCCUCUUCGCCGUCAUCCGCUUCGAAAGCAUCAUCCACGAGUUCGACCCUUGGUUUAACUAUAGAUCAACACAUCAUCUUGCAUCUCAUGGGUUCUAUGAAUUUUUAAAUUGGUUUGAUGAAAGAGCAUGGUAUCCACUAGGAAGAAUAGUAGGUGGUACUGUUUACCCAGGGUUGAUGAUAACCGCUGGCCUUAUUCAUUGGAUUUUAAAUACAUUGAACAUAACAGUUCACAUAAGAGAUGUAUGCGUGUUCCUUGCACCAACUUUUAGCGGCCUUACAUCUAUAUCUACUUUCCUGCUUACAAGAGAACUUUGGAACCAAGGAGCAGGACUUUUAGCUGCUUGUUUUAUUGCCAUUGUACCAGGCUACAUAUCUCGGUCAGUAGCUGGAUCCUUUGAUAAUGAAGGCAUUGCUAUUUUUGCACUUCAGUUCACAUACUAUUUAUGGGUAAAAUCUGUAAAAACUGGGUCAGUUUUUUGGACAAUGUGCUGCUGCUUAUCCUAUUUCUAUAUGGUCUCUGCUUGGGGUGGUUAUGUAUUUAUCAUCAAUCUUAUUCCACUGCAUGUAUUUGUGUUGUUACUGAUGCAGAGAUACAGCAAAAGAGUCUACAUAGCAUAUAGCACUUUCUACAUUGUGGGUUUAAUAUUAUCCAUGCAGAUACCUUUUGUGGGAUUCCAGCCAAUCAGAACAAGUGAACACAUGGCAGCUGCAGGUGUCUUUGCAUUGCUGCAAGCUUAUGCUUUCUUGCAGUAUCUGAGAGACCGAUUAACAAAACAAGAGUUCCAGACCCUUUUCUUUUUGGGUGUAUCACUAGCUGCAGGUGCUGUGUUCCUUAGUGUCAUCUAUUUGACUUAUACAGGUUACAUUGCACCAUGGAGUGGCAGAUUUUAUUCACUGUGGGAUACUGGGCCUUUGGUUCUGUAUCAAAAAUAUCAACGAUGAAAGAGUAUUUGGUGCUUAACCAAGAAAAAUUCAUUGAGAGGCCGGGCAUGGUGGCACACGCCUGUAAUCCCAGCACUUUGGGAGGCCGAGGCGGGUGGAUCACCUGAGGUCAGGAGUUCGAGACCAGCCUGGCCAACAUGGUGAAACCUUGUCUCUACUAAAAAUACAAAAAUUAGCCGAACAUGGUGGUGCAUGCCUGUAAUCCCAGCUACUCAGGAGGCUGAGGCAGGAGAAUUGCUUGAACCUGGGAGGCGGAGGUUGCAGUGAGUGAAGAUCAAGCCACUGCACUCCACCCUGGGAAUCAGAGCAAGACUCUGUCUC
RNAcentral lists this small RNA (1891 nucleotides) under Pongo abelii (Sumatran orangutan). RNAcentral describes it as "processed transcript". The record is from RNAcentral. Lineage: Eukaryota; Metazoa; Chordata; Mammalia; Primates; Hominidae.